CAUAAGUAACGAUAAAGCGGGUGAAAAGCCCGCUCGCCGGAAGACCAAGGGUUCCUGUCCAACGUUAAUCGGGGCAGGGUGAGUCGACCCCUAAGGCGAGGCCGAAAGGCGUAGUCGAUGGGAAACAGGUUAAUAUUCCUGUACUCGGUGUUACUGCGAAGGGGGGACGGAGAAGGCUAGGCUAGCCGGGCGACGGUUGUCCCGGUUUAAGCGUGUAGGGGGAGUGACCCGGUAAAUCCGGUUGCUUAUCAACCCUGAGGCGUGAUGACGAUGCACCACGGUGCAGAAGUAGUUGAUGCCAAGCUUCCAGGAAAAGCCUCUAAGCAUCAGGUAACACAGAAUCGUACCCCAAACCGACACAGGUGGUCAGGUAGAGAAUACCAAGGCGCUUGAGAGAACUCGGGUGAAGGAACUAGGCAAAAUGGUGCCGUAACUUCGGGAGAAGGCACGCUGGCGCGUAGGUGAAGUCCCUUGCGGAUGGAGCUGAAGCCAGUCGCAGAUACCAGCUGGCUGCAACUGUUUAAUAAAAACACAGCACUGUGCAAACACGAAAGUGGACGUAUACGGUGUGACGCCUGCCCGGUGCUGGAAGGUUAAUUGAUGGGGUCAGCCGCAAGGCGAAGCUCUUGAUCGAAGCCCCAGUAAACGGCGGCCGUAACUAUAACGGUCCUAAGGUAGCGAAAUUCCUUGUCGGGUAAGUUCCGACCUGCACGAAUGGCGUAAUGAUGGCCAGGCUGUCUCCACCCGAGACUCAGUGAAAUUGAACUCGCUGUGAAGAUGCAGUGUACCCGCGGCAAGACGGAAAGACCCCGUGAACCUUUACUAUAGCUUGACACUGAACAUUGAGCCUUGAUGUGUAGGAUAGGUGGGAGGCUUUGAAGCGUGGACGCCAGUCUGCGUGGAGCCAACCUUGAAAUACCACCCUUUAAUGUUUGAUGUUCUAACUCGGCCCCAUAAUCUGGGGUGAGGACAGUGUCUGGUGGGUAGUUUGACUGGGGCGGUCUCCUCCCAAAGAGUAACGGAGGAGCACGAAGGUUAGCUAAUCACGGUCGGACAUCGUGAGGUUAGUGCAAAGGCAUAAGCUAGCUUGACUGCGAGAGUGACGGCUCGAGCAGGUACGAAAGUAGGUCUUAGUGAUCCGGUGGUUCUGAAUGGAAGGGCCAUCGCUCAACGGAUAAAAGGUACUCCGGGGAUAACAGGCUGAUACCGCCCAAGAGUUCAUAUCGACGGCGGUGUUUGGCACCUCGAUGUCGGCUCAUCACAUCCUGGGGCUGAAGUAGGUCCCAAGGGUAUGGCUGUUCGCCAUUUAAAGUGGUACGCGAGCUGGGUUUAGAACGUCGUGAGACAGUUCGGUCCCUAUCUGCCGUGGGCGUUGGAAGAUUGAGAGGGGUUGCUCCUAGUACGAGAGGACCGGAGUGAACGCACCACUGGUGUUCGGGUUGUCAUGCCAAUGGCACUGCCCGGUAGCUAAGUGCGGAAAAGAUAAGCGCUGAAAGCAUCUAAGUGCGAAACUUGCCUCGAGAUGAGUCUUCCCUGGGCCUUUAAGGCCCCUGAAGGAACGUUUAAGACUAAGACGUUGAUAGGCUGGGUGUGUAAGUGCAGCGAUGCAUUGAGCUAACCAGUACUAAUGAUCCGUGAGGCUUAACCUU
This 1649-nucleotide ribosomal RNA is filed under the name Serratia ficaria. Its description in RNAcentral is "23S ribosomal RNA". It matches the Rfam family "Bacterial large subunit ribosomal RNA", at positions 1301 to 2925 of the family's 2925-position model. Lineage: Bacteria; Pseudomonadati; Pseudomonadota; Gammaproteobacteria; Enterobacterales; Yersiniaceae. The record is from RNAcentral.